This 253-nucleotide ribosomal RNA is filed under the name uncultured bacterium. RNAcentral describes it as "partial 16S ribosomal RNA". It matches the Rfam family "Bacterial small subunit ribosomal RNA", at positions 524 to 776 of the family's 1533-position model. The record is from RNAcentral.
UACGUAGGUGGCAAGCGUUGUCCGGAUUUAUUGGGUUUAAAGGGUGCGUAGGCGGCUUUGUAAGUCAGUGGUGAAAUAUGGCAGCUCAACUGUCAGGGUGCCAUUGAUACCGCGGAGCUUGAGUACAGAUGAGGUAGGCGGAAUUGACGGUGUAGCGGUGAAAUGCUUAGAUAUCGUCAAGAACACCGAUAGCGAAGGCAGCUUACUGGGCUGUAACUGACGCUGAGGCACGAAAGUGUGGGGAUCAAACAGG